This 495-nucleotide ribosomal RNA is filed under the name uncultured bacterium. RNAcentral's name for it is "bacterial SSU rRNA". It matches the Rfam family "Bacterial small subunit ribosomal RNA", at positions 15 to 518 of the family's 1533-position model. The record is from RNAcentral.
GAUCAUGGCUCAGGAUGAACGGCUGGCGGCGUGCCUAACACAUGCAAGUCGAACGAGCGAGAGAUGAAACCUAGUGAUUCUCGAGCGAGUGGCGGACGGGUGAGUAACGCGUGGGUAACCUGCCUUACAGAGGGGGAUAACAGUCUGAAAAGACUAGCUAAUACCGCAUAAGCACGACAGUACCGCAUGGUACAGGGUGAAAAGAUUUAUCACUGUAAGAUGGACCCGCGUCUGAUUAGCCAGUUGGCAGGGUAACGGCCUACCAAGCGACGAUCAGUAGCCGACCUGAGAGGGUGAUCGGCCACAUUGGGACUGAGACACGGCCCAAACUCCUACGGGAGGCAGCAGUGGGGGAUAUUGCACAAUGGAGGAAACUCUGAUGCAGCCGACGCCGCGUGAGUGAAGAAGUAUUUCGGUAUGUAAAGCUCUAUCAGCAGGGAAGAUAAUGACAGUACCUGACCAAGAAGCCCCGGCUAACUACGUGCCAGCCGCGGC